Molecule: ribosomal RNA, 253 nt
Filed under: uncultured bacterium
Lineage: Bacteria
Description: partial 16S ribosomal RNA
Rfam family: Bacterial small subunit ribosomal RNA
Source: RNAcentral
UACGUGAGGGGCGAACGUUGUUCGGUGUCACUGGGCUUAAAGGGCGCGUAGGUGGCUGCGUAAGUAAGGUGUGAAAGCCCUCGGCUUACCCGGGGAAUUGCGCCUUAUACUGCGUGGCUUGAGGAUCUCAGGGGAAGGGGGAACUCCAGGUGUAGCGGUGAAGUGCGCAGAUAUCUGGGGGAAUACCGGUGGCGAAGGCGGCAUCCUGGACCGGCAUUGACGCUGAGGAGCGAAAGCCAGGGGAGCAAACGGG